GAGUUUGAUCCUGGCUCAGAUUGAACGCUGGCGGCAUGCCUAACACAAGCAAGUCGAACGGUAGCAGGCCUUCGGGUGCUGACGAGUGGCGGACGGGUGAGUAAUGCGUAGGAAUCUGUCUUUUAGUGGGGGACAACCCAGGGAAACUUGGGCUAACACCGCAUGAGCCCUGAGGGGGAAAGCGGGGGAUCUUCGGACAUCGCGCUAAGGGAAGAGCCUACGUCUGAUUAGCUAGUUGGUAGGGUAAAGGCCUACCAAGGCGACGAUCAGUAGCUGGUCUGAGAGGACGACCAGCCACACUGGGACUGAGACACGGCCCAGACUCCUACGGGAGGCAGCAGUGGGGAAUUUUUCGCAAUGGGGGCAACCCUGACGAAGCAAUGCCGCGUGGAUGAAGAAGGCCUUCGGGUUGUAAAGUCCUUUCGUGGGGGACGAAAAGGUGGUUCCUAAUACGAGCUGCUGUUGACGUGAACCCAAGAAGAAGCACCGGCUAACUCCGUGCCAGCAGCCGCGGUAAUACGGGGGGUGCAAGCGUUAAUCGGAAUCACUGGGCGUAAAGGGUGCGUAG
RNAcentral lists this ribosomal RNA (568 nucleotides) under uncultured bacterium. Its description in RNAcentral is "bacterial SSU rRNA". It matches the Rfam family "Bacterial small subunit ribosomal RNA", at positions 9 to 574 of the family's 1533-position model. The record is from RNAcentral.